UUUACAGCAAACUUUGUUAUAUAUAUAUAUAUAUAUUUUUUUUUAUUGGAUAUUACUACAUUGUAUGAAUAUCCAUGAAAUAUUUAAAUUUCGUUAAAAAUGCCGUAGAUAUCCAAGCAAAAUAGGCAUAGACGCUUUAGACUGUCUAAGCGGUUUAGGCGGACAAAAAAAUUGGUGAUCCGAGUUCUUUUUAAUAUGGUUGCAAAGAUGCUCUUCUACAUCAUUUCAUUAUUAGCGUUCAUUUGAGAACAUAGCCAUUUGUACACUUGGUCUCAGAUUAAUCAUUUCUAACAAUUAUGUAGAUUUUGGUCGUUUUCUCUCUGUACAAAUUGUGAACAAACUGCCUAUUGUUUGCAUAUAGCUCUUAUAUUUGCAUAGCUCAUUUUUUUUGCCUUUGAAUCAACUGCGCAUAUAGCUCUUACGAUGUGUUAUGUUGUUUUAUGUUGACUCUCGUUUCAAAAUUUACUUCUAUUAUAGUACAUUAACAUUAACAUUAUUUUCUAAAACCUACGUACCAAUGUAAUAUCCUCUCAUCAUGUAAGGUCAAAUCCUCUCAUCAUCCUGAUGCUAAAUCUUCUGAUCUUCCUAAGGUUCACUUUACCAUCUUAUCUCUAAAUUAUCAUUCAUCAGCUCUGCUAAUUUCCCUUGGUCUUUAGUAGAUUUGACAGUCUCUCUUCUUUUUCCCAUGUUGUAAGUCUUAAAAAAGAAAAAAACUGCCGACAAGAAAAAAAGAAGCUUCUAGCGGGAAUAAGAAGAAAAGUAUGGCUGCUAAAGCACCAACUGGAGCUGAAGAAGCUGAACUUGCCUUGCUCGCAAGAAAGAAGCUAGUGACUUGCUCUUGCGAAGAAAGUUAUGUACAGGAAGGUGAACAAGGAAGAGUACUGCAGCUUUCAUGCUUAUGAAGGGUUUCAGCGGGAUCUCCAGAAACUUUUCAAAGAAAAUGUGACUGCGGCUCUUGCUGGUGACAACCCGAAAACUCGAAAGGAGAGGGAAAUGAAAGAGAAUUUGAAACGAGCCAAGGAAGAGAAGAGGCAAAGUGACACUCUCAAAAUGGCCGAGAACCGGAUGAAGAACACGAGAAUCAAGCCUCCAUGAUGAUGGUGGUCUGGCAAUGACAAGUUGAUGAUCUAGAAUCUUAAGAGAACUCCGAUCCUAAACAUAUUUUACGAGGUUUUUUCCGAUGAAUAUUGUUUCUUAUUAAUAAAUUUUACUAUAUCUCCAGUUUUAGACAUAAUUGUUUUUUUUAUUGGUCAAUCUCAGUGGAAUA
Molecule: small RNA, 1267 nt
Filed under: Arabidopsis thaliana (thale cress)
Lineage: Eukaryota; Viridiplantae; Streptophyta; Magnoliopsida; Brassicales; Brassicaceae
Description: ATSL242080
Source: RNAcentral